Molecule: unclassified non-coding RNA, 343 nt
Filed under: soil metagenome
Description: partial contains 5.8S ribosomal RNA, internal transcribed spacer 2, and large subunit ribosomal RNA
Rfam family: 5.8S ribosomal RNA (bases 1-120)
Source: RNAcentral
GAUGAAGAACGUAGCGAAAUGCGAUGAGUAACGUGAAUUGCAGAAUCCAGUGAAUCAUCGAAUCUUUGAACGCACAUUGCGCCCGCCAGCAUUCUGGCGGGCAUGCCUGUUCGAGCGUCAUUUCAACCCUCGACCUCCCUUUGGGGAAGUCGGCGUUGGGGACCGGCAGCACACCGCCGGCCCUGAAAUGGAGUGGCGGCCCGUCCGCGGCGACCUCUGCGUAGUAAACCAACUCGCACCGGAACCCCGACGUGGCCACGCCGUAAAACACCCAACUUCUGAACGUUGACCUCGAAUCAGGUAGGACUACCCGCUGAACUUAAGCAUAUCAAUAAGCGGAGGA